GGCCUGUUGUUUAUGAUUUCAGGUCUGACCUGCCCAAUGAUUAAAUUAAAUGGCCGCGGUAUUUUGACCGUGCAAAGGUAGCAUAAUCAUUAGUUUUUUAAUUGGAAGCUUGUAUGAAGGGUUUGAUGAGAAAAUUACUGUCUCUAGAAAAUUUUUUUAGAAUUUUAUUUUUAAGUUAAAAAGCUUAAAUUUAUAUAGAAGACGAGAAGACCCUAUAGAGUUUAAUAGUCAAAGAAAAAUUGGUAUUUUAGGUUUAGAAAAUUUGGUUUUUCUCUAACUAUUUUGUUGGGGUGACGGAAAAAUUGAAGAAACUUUUUUUUUAUGAAUACAUUUAUUUGUGAGUUUUUGAUCCUGUAAUUUAGAUUAUAAGAUGAAAUUACCUUAGGGAUAACAGCGUAAUUUUUUUUAGAGUUCUUAUCGAAAAAGAAGAUUGCGACCUCGAUGUUGGAUUAAAAUUUAUUAUUGGUGUAGAAGCUGAUAGAUUAGGUCUGUUCGACCUUUAAAAUUUUACAUGAUCUGAGUUUAAACCGGUGUGAG
RNAcentral lists this ribosomal RNA (537 nucleotides) under Trigonopterus sp. 806 AR-2022a. RNAcentral describes it as "partial large subunit ribosomal RNA". It matches the Rfam family "Bacterial large subunit ribosomal RNA", at positions 1819 to 2625 of the family's 2925-position model. The record is from RNAcentral. Lineage: Eukaryota; Metazoa; Arthropoda; Insecta; Coleoptera; Curculionidae.